UUCCAGCCCAGCUGAGUGAAAGGUGGAGAGAGGCCCCCCGUGCCUGUGUCUUUCUGAUUCAGUACAAGAUACACCCAAUAACAAAUGGAAUAAGCUCCUAAAAAUAGCAGGUAGCCCAAAAGGCAUCACAAGUACAACCGAGCAGGAGAGAUGGCAUUUCCAUGGAACUCUUCUCUGGAGGAAUUUCAGAGGGAUUUUUUCAAUCCUGCUUUGCAGUGAGGUGGUGAAAGUGAUACUCACCCUUUAUUUUACUGCCAGCACCAAAAAGCAGCUCAGGAGUGUCCAAGCCUGGCUGAUUCCUACCACAGAUCCCACUUGCAAUGGCCGGUCACCCUCUCUCUGUGAUGUUUGUGAACCCACCAGCCAUGGGCCAGGCAGGGUCAGUCCUUGAAGCACAGACCCAGCAGGUCCAGUCUCACAUCACAUUCUCCCUUUGAGCACCUGAAAUCCCUGAAUGUUGGAUUAUACCUUUUUCUGGCCCAGAGAUGGGGCAACUGAGAGGCACUUUAAAAACUUUUAUUCCAUUUUUAGUGUCAUGUCAAGAGUGAGACGAUACAGAUGUUAUAAUUCAUGCUAUCACAAUCAGAAGCCAAACUAUUUCCUUAUUACAAAACAUUAUAAGUGUUUCUUGACCUAUCAGCUUUUGGCACACAAUGCUGCUUUAAAGCAAAUCACCUAAAAUUACCCCCGUGGGUCCUACUACAAUGCAUCUUUCAUAGUUCUAUUUUUCUAAAAUAUCUAGUCUUAUUUGCAAGGCCAUCCUUUGAAAGUUGUUUCCAGUUCCAUUUCUCCCUCAACAAUAUCCGUCCUAUUCCACAGAAUUUCUAAGUCAUCAUUUUUUUAUCUCAAAAUUUGCAUACAGAUACAAACUAUGUGAGCCUUCUGUCGGGCUUUGAGA
Molecule: long non-coding RNA, 898 nt
Organism: Prinia subflava (tawny-flanked prinia)
Lineage: Eukaryota; Metazoa; Chordata; Aves; Passeriformes; Cisticolidae
Exons: 3
Source: RefSeq, a predicted model, not a curated record